GGGGAAUUUUGGACAAUGGGGGAAACCCUGAUCCAGCCAUCCCGCGUGUAUGAUGAAGGCCUUCGGGUUGUAAAGUACUUUUGGCAGAGAAGAAAAGGUAUCUCCUAAUACGAGAUACUGCUGACGGUAUCUGCAGAAUAAGCACCGGCUAACUACGUGCCAGCAGCCGCGGUAAUACGUAGGGUGCAAGCGUUAAUCGGGAUUACUGGGCGUAAAGCGUGUGUAGGCGGUUCGGAAAGAAAGAUGUGAAAUCCCAGGGCUCAACCUUGGAACUGCAUUUUUAACUGCCGAGCUAGAGUAUGUCAGAGGGGGGUAGAAUUCCACGUGUAGCAGUGAAAUGCGUAGAUAUGUGGAGGAAUACCGAUGGCGAAGGCAGCCCCCUGGGAUAAUACUGACGCUCAGACACGAAAGCGUGGGGAGCAAAC
This 425-nucleotide ribosomal RNA is filed under the name uncultured bacterium. RNAcentral's name for it is "bacterial SSU rRNA". It matches the Rfam family "Bacterial small subunit ribosomal RNA", at positions 356 to 773 of the family's 1533-position model. The record is from RNAcentral.